AAGGCUCCUUCGGGAGUACACGAGCGGCGAACGGGUGAGUAACACGUGAGCAAUCUGCCCUUCACUUCGGGAUAACUCCGGGAAACCGGUGCUAAUACCGAAUACGACCACUUCAGGCAUCUGAUGGUGGUGGAAAGUUCCGGCGGUGAAGGAUGAGCUCGCGGCCUAUCAGCUUGUUGGUGGGGUAACGGCCCACCAAGGCGACGACGGGUAGCCGGCCUGAGAGGGUGACCGGCCACACUGGGACUGAGACACGGCCCAGACUCCUACGGGAGGCAGCAGUGGGGAAUAUUGGACAAUGGGCGAAAGCCUGAUCCAGCAACGCCGCGUGAGGGAUGACGGCCUUCGGGUUGUAAACCUCUUUCAGUAGGGACGAAGCGAAAGUGACGGUACCUACAGAAGAAGCACCGGCCAACUACGUGCCAGCAGCCGCGGUAAUACGUAGGGUGCGAGCGUUGUCCGGAAUUAUUGGGCGUAAAGGGCUCGUAGGCGGUUUGUCGCGUCGGGAGUGAAAACUCAGGGCUUAACCCUGAGCCUGCUUCCGAUACGGGCAGACUAGAGGUAUGCAGGGGAGAACGGAAUUCCUGGUGUAGCGGUGAAAUGCGCAGAUAUCAGGAGGAACACCGGUGGCGAAGGCGGUUCUCUGGGCAUUACCUGACGCUGAGGAGCGAAAGUGUGGGGAGCGAACAGGAUUAGAUACCCUGGUAGUCCACACCGUAAACGUUGGGCGCUAGGUGUGGGACUCAUUCCACGAGUUCCGUGCCGCAGCUAACGCAUUAAGCGCCCCGCC
RNAcentral lists this ribosomal RNA (790 nucleotides) under uncultured Nocardioides sp. RNAcentral's name for it is "bacterial SSU rRNA". It matches the Rfam family "Bacterial small subunit ribosomal RNA", at positions 71 to 873 of the family's 1533-position model. The record is from RNAcentral. Lineage: Bacteria; Bacillati; Actinomycetota; Actinomycetes; Propionibacteriales; Nocardioidaceae.